UUGAACGCUGGCGGCAUGCUUUACACAUGCAAGUCGAACGGCAGCACGGGGGCAACCCUGGUGGCGAGUGGCGAACGGGUGAGUAAUACAUCGGAACGUGUCCUGUAGUGGGGGAUAACCCACCGAAAGGUGAGCUAAUACCGCAUACGAUCUCAGGAUGAAAGCGGGGGACCUUCGGGCCUCGCGCUAUAGGAGCGGCCGAUGUCCGAUUAGCUAGUUGGUGAGGUAAAGGCUCACCAAGGCUGCGAUCGGUAGCUGGUCUGAGAGGAUGAUCAGCCACACUGGGACUGAGACACGGCCCAGACUCCUACGGGAGGCAGCAGUGGGGAAUUUUGGACAAUGGGGGCAACCCUGAUCCAGCAAUGCCGCGUGAGUGAAGAAGGCCUUCGGGUUGUAAACCACUUUUGUCAGGGAAGAAACGGCUCUUACUAAUAUUAGGAGCUAAUGACGGUACCUGAAGAAUAAGCACCGGCUAACUACG
RNAcentral lists this ribosomal RNA (481 nucleotides) under uncultured bacterium. RNAcentral's name for it is "bacterial SSU rRNA". It matches the Rfam family "Bacterial small subunit ribosomal RNA", at positions 30 to 505 of the family's 1533-position model. The record is from RNAcentral.